AGAGUUUGAUCCUGGCUCAGGACGAACGCUGGCGGCGUGCCUAACACAUGCAAGUCGAGCGAAGCACCUAUGACAGAUUCCUUCGGGAUGACGACAUAGGUGACUUAGCGGCGGACGGGUGAGUAACGCGUGAGGAACCUACCUUCCACAAGGGGAUAGCCUCGGGAAACUGGGAUUAAUACCCUAUGACACUUAAGGGUCGCAUGACCUUUAGGUUAAAGCGAUUUAGCGGUGGAAGAUGGCCUCGCGUCCCAUUAGCUAGUUGGUGAGGUAACGGCUCACCAAGGCGACGAUGGGUAGCCGGCCUGAGAGGGUGACCGGCCACACUGGGACUGAGACACGGCCCAGACUCCUACGGGAGGCAGCAGUGGGGAAUAUUGCACAAUGGGCGGAAGCCUGAUGCAGCGACGCCGCGUGAGCGAUGAAGGCCUUCGGGUCGUAAAGCUCUGUCCUAUGGGACGAUAAUGACGGUACCAUAGGAGGAAGCCCCGGCUAACUACGUGCCAGCAGCCGCGGUAAU
RNAcentral lists this ribosomal RNA (520 nucleotides) under uncultured bacterium. RNAcentral's name for it is "bacterial SSU rRNA". It matches the Rfam family "Bacterial small subunit ribosomal RNA", at positions 8 to 524 of the family's 1533-position model. The record is from RNAcentral.